AAGUCGUAACAAGGUUUUCGUAGGUGAACCUGCGGAAGGAUCAUUAAUGAAUCUCGGGAGUCCCUCCUAACCGGAGAAGGCCCGCAUCAUUACUUCACACACUUGUGCAUUUGUCCCCCUUUUAAUACCUUUAACCCUGUAUGCAUUUGAAACAGUCAUUGGUUACAAACAUGAUAAAUGAAAGAAAAACUUUCAGCAAUGGAUCUCUUGGCUCUC
Molecule: unclassified non-coding RNA, 216 nt
Filed under: fungal sp.
Lineage: Eukaryota; Fungi
Also listed under: 1 other name
Description: partial internal transcribed spacer region
Rfam family: Eukaryotic small subunit ribosomal RNA (bases 1-46)
Source: RNAcentral